This 469-nucleotide long non-coding RNA is filed under the name Homo sapiens (human). Its description in RNAcentral is "non-protein coding GAS5:12". The stretch from base 317 to 384 matches the Rfam family "Small nucleolar RNA SNORD77". Lineage: Eukaryota; Metazoa; Chordata; Mammalia; Primates; Hominidae. The record is from RNAcentral.
UUUCGAGGUAGGAGUCGACUCCUGUGAGGUAUGGUGCUGGGUGCAGAUGCAGUGUGGCUCUGGAUAGCACCUUAUGGACAGUUGUGUCCCCAAGGAAGGAUGAGAAUAGCUACUGAAGUCCUAAAGAGCAAGCCUAACUCAAGCCAUUGGCACACAGGUGAGACACCUCUAUUUUGUACUUCUCACUUUUAAGGGAUUAGAAAAUAGCCAAAGCAAUGAUGAUUAUCUAUGUUAGUGCUUCUCUCCCCUCUUUUCAAAUGAGAAUUUUGCUCUCAUAUUGAUACUAAGUUUAAUACUGAAGAAAAUGUGAAAACAGAUACUAUGAUGGUUGCAUAGUUCAGCAGAUUUAAUCAUGAAGAGAUGUACUAUCUGUCUGAUGUAUCUGGGGUAGUUGUGGUUUGCUGUUAAUGGUUAAGCAGUGUACCACCAAUCUACCAUUAAAAUAUUUUUUGCUGACAAUUUUGUAUUA